RNAcentral lists this ribosomal RNA (942 nucleotides) under uncultured archaeon. Its description in RNAcentral is "bacterial SSU rRNA". It matches the Rfam family "Archaeal small subunit ribosomal RNA", at positions 1 to 922 of the family's 1478-position model. The record is from RNAcentral.
UUCCGGUUGAUCCUGCCGGACCCCACUGCUAUCGAGGUGGGACUAAGCCAUGCUAGUCGAACGACCCGGACUAUGGCGGGAAGUGGCAGACUGCUCAGUAACACGUAGCUAACCUACCCUUGGGACGGGUACAACCCCGGGAAACUGAGGUUAAUACCCGAUAGGUGUGGAAUCCUGGAAUGGUACCACGCCCAAAUGUAAAUGCAUCCAUGUUUGCGUGCACGCCCGAGGAUGGGGCUGCGGCCGAUCAGGCAGUUGGUGAGGUAACGGCUCACCAAACCUUUGACCGGUACGGGCCAUGAGAGUGGUAGCCCGGAGAUGGGCACUGAGACAAGGGCCCAGGCCCUACGGGGCGCAGCAGGCGCGAAACCUCCACAAUUCACGAAAGUGAGAUGGGGUUACCUCGAGUGCCGCCUGAAGAAGGCGGCUUUUCCAUUGUGUAAUGAGCCGUGGGAAUAAGAGGGGGGCAAGACUGGUGUCAGCCGCCGCGGUAACACCAGCCCCUCGAGAGGUGGGGAUGAUUAUUUGGCCUAAAGCGUCCGUAGCCUGCUCUGUAAAUCUUUCGUUAAAUCCAGCGUCCUAAGCGUUGGGCUGCGAGGGAGACUGCAGAGCUAGAGGGUGGGAGAGGUCAGCGGUAUUCCUGGGGUAGGGGCGAAAUCCAUUGAUCCCAGGAGGACCACCAGUGGCGAAGGCUGCUGACUAGAACACGCCUGACGGUGAGGGACGAAAGCUGGGGUAGCGAAUCGGAUUAGAUACCCGAGUAGUCCCAGCCGUAAACGAUGCAGGCUAGGUGUUGGGUUGGCCACGUGCCAGCUCAGUGCCACAGGGAAGCCAUUAAGCCUGCCGCCUGGGGAGUACGGCCGCAAGGCUGAAACUUAAAGGAAUUGGCGGGGGAGCACCACCAGGCGUGAAGCCUGCGGUUUAAUUGGAGUCAACGCCGGG